Molecule: non-coding RNA, 412 nt
Organism: Labrus bergylta (ballan wrasse)
Lineage: Eukaryota; Metazoa; Chordata; Actinopteri; Labriformes; Labridae
Source: RefSeq, a predicted model, not a curated record
GGCAAUCAUCAACCAUUUUAACCCCAAGAUAGAGUCGUACGCUGCUGUGAACCACAUCUCCCAGCUGUCAGAAGAGCAGGUGCUCGAGGUGGUUCGGACCAACUAUGACACACUGACCCUCAAACUGCAGGAUGGUUUGGACCAGUUUGAGAGAUACUCGGAGCAGCCGAAAGAGUCUGCCUUCUUCAAGGAGCUAGUUCGCUCCAUCAGUCUGAAUGUGAGGAAGAACGUCUCUCUUAACACACUGAGUCAGGACAUCUUGCUCAAAGAGUUUUCAACCAUCUCCUGAGACACACAUUCACACACACACCAAGCCUUCUCCUUUCUUCAGAUGGACAUGGACAGUACUAUUUCUGUGUGCGUAUGAACAUGUAAACAGACUUUGACACAUACAAUACAAACACCAAAAGUA